GUUUGUUCGUUAGGUGAAAAAGAUGCGUAAAAUUGCAAAUUCUUUAAAAAGUUAUAAAGUAUUAUUAAAAUUAUAUGUUAUAGUGAUGUAAAGUUAAUUAAAGUGUGUAUUAUUGUAAAUGUAAAAGCAUUCUAGUCAAAUAAUUUAUAAAAAGUGUGUAAAAAGUGAAAAGUGUUAAAGAAAAGUGAUAUUUUUUAGCAGCACAAAGUGUUAAAUUAUAGAUCAUAAAUCAUCUGUGUGGAUGCACUUGAAAAGGUUUUUAAAUAUGGCCAAAUAUAAAUAAGUAGAUUUUGCAACAAGUUGUAGAAAAGAAACACAUUUUGUAAGAAAUAAUAAAUUUCUUUUAAAACGAAAUUACAUCAAAUAUGCAUAGACAUCUAAAUUUUGUAUAUUUGUGCGACGAAAAAAAAAAAAAAAAUACGAGUAGAAGUCAAAAUAUAAAAAAAAAAAAAUGAAAUACACAAA
This is a long non-coding RNA of Lucilia sericata (common green bottle fly), 465 nucleotides long. RefSeq lists it as uncharacterized. The transcript has 2 exons. The record is from RefSeq and is a predicted model, not a curated record. NCBI's taxonomy places the organism in Eukaryota, Metazoa, Arthropoda, Insecta, Diptera, Calliphoridae.